CUACGUGCCAGCAGCCGCGGUAAUACGGAAGGUCCAGGCGUUAUCCGGAUUUAUUGGGUUUAAAGGGAGCGUAGGCGGAUUGUUAAGUCAGCGGUUAAAGGGUGUGGCUCAACCAUGCAUUGCCGUUGAAACUGGCGAUCUUGAGUGCAGACAGGGAUGCCGGAAUUCGUGGUGUAGCGGUGAAAUGCUUAGAUAUCACGAAGAACUCCGAUCGCGAAGGCAGGUGUCCGGGCUGCAACUGACGCUGAGGCUCGAAAGUGUGGGUAUCAAACAGGAUUAGAUACCCUGGUAGUCCACACAGUAAACGAUGUAUACUCGCGGUUUGCGAUAGACAGUAAGCCGCCAAGCGAAAGCAUUAAGUAUACCACCUGGGGAGUACGCCGGCAACGGUGAUACUCAAAGGAAUUGACGGGGGCCCGCACAAGCGGAGGAACAUGUGGUUUAAUUCGAUGAUACGCGAGGAACCUUACCCGGGCUUGAACUAACGGUGACGAAUCUAGAGAUAG
This 506-nucleotide ribosomal RNA is filed under the name uncultured bacterium. Its description in RNAcentral is "bacterial SSU rRNA". It matches the Rfam family "Bacterial small subunit ribosomal RNA", at positions 501 to 1009 of the family's 1533-position model. The record is from RNAcentral.